GCGGCAGCUUCAUGGCCGACAAUUCCACCCACUUGCUAACGACAGGAACAAAACAACAGACAUUGCUUAAGAUUGCUGAAUUAUCGCAUCCGCCUGCUACCAGAAUCACUUCCACACUUCGCAUUUCUGUGGUAAACAUGGCAAAGAAGAACCGGCUAUUGGCCGCGAGAACUGCCUUAUGUGCUGAAAAGUUCUGGCCAUCCACUGUCAAAUUAACAUCGCAUAAUAUUCCUGAAUGUCGCUGUGUGUUCAGCACUUUUAAAAUAAUGUUGUCAUCGCCUUUCAAUUGAAGAAAAGAGGGACCUUCAAUGGUUCUUACAAGGCCCAUAAUCAUUGCCGACUUUGACAAAGCUACCUGGAUGCAUGAACGCAGUAAAAUGAUGAAAUAUGAUUGAAGUCCAGCUUAAAUCACGCACGCUUCAGUCCCGCUCCAAUGACCAAUUUUUCAAUACAGUUCGUAAUUGAUGUAAACAAAUCAUUGUCCUACAGUGAUAUUGAGCAACCUUAGCUUGCCAAUAUUGUCAUGUGGUCUCAGGAUUUCCGUUUCAUGGAUGAAAGUUCGUUAUAAUAACAAGUCCUACAUAAAUGAAAGUGUUCUCUUGGUGUUUGUUCUGCUUACAGCUGCAAAGAAAGUCAAAUAAAUUGGCAACAUAUUUAA
This is a long non-coding RNA of Pocillopora damicornis (cauliflower coral), 658 nucleotides long. Lineage: Eukaryota; Metazoa; Cnidaria; Anthozoa; Scleractinia; Pocilloporidae. The record is from RefSeq and is a predicted model, not a curated record.